Molecule: ribosomal RNA, 435 nt
Filed under: uncultured bacterium
Lineage: Bacteria
Description: bacterial SSU rRNA
Rfam family: Bacterial small subunit ribosomal RNA
Source: RNAcentral
GACGAACGCUGGCGGCGUGCUUAACACAUGCAAGUCGCACGGGACUGGGGGCAACUCCAGUUCAGUGGCGGACGGGUGCGUAACACGUAAGUAACAUGUCCAAGGGUGGGGGAUAGCCGGCCCAACGGCCGGGUAAUACCGCAUGCAGUCACGGGGGACAUCCUCGGUGACGAAAGCCGGGGCAACCUGGCGCCCAUGGAGUGGCUUGCGGCCUAUCAGCUAGUUGGUGAGGUCACGGCUCACCAAGGCGACGACGGGUAGCUGGUCUGAGAGGAUGAUCAGCCACAUUGGGACUGAGACACGGCCCAGACUCCUACGGGAGGCAGCAGUGGGGAAUAUUGCGCAAUGGGCGAAUGCCUGACGCAGCGACGCCGCGUGUGGGAUGAAGGUCUUCGGAUCGUAAACCACUGUCAGCGGGGACGAAGGCCGGGCGUU